UACGUAGGUUGCAAGCGUUGUCCGGAUUUAUUGGGUUUAAAGGGUGCGUAGGCGGUUUUGUAAGUCAGUGGUGAAAUAUGUCAGCUUAACUGAGAGGGUGCCAUUGAUACUGCAGAACUUGAGUACAGAUGAGGUAGGCGGAAUUGACGGUGUAGCGGUGAAAUGCUUAGAUAUCGUCAAGAACACCUAUAGCGAAGGCAGCUUACUAGGCUUUAACUGACGCUGAGGCACGAAAGUGUGGGGAUCGAACAGG
RNAcentral lists this ribosomal RNA (253 nucleotides) under uncultured bacterium. RNAcentral's name for it is "partial 16S ribosomal RNA". It matches the Rfam family "Bacterial small subunit ribosomal RNA", at positions 524 to 776 of the family's 1533-position model. The record is from RNAcentral.